UUUUUUUUUUUUUUUUUGGUAUGGCAAGUAUUAUCUCAGUCCUAUCUUUAAUGGAUGAAAACAUUCCUGAGUUUCAAUCAGUAAUGGCUUAUUCCGAGGAAUAUUUGGUACAUGAACAACACAGCACAACAGGAGCACCAAGAUAACCACUUCAGUGAUUUGACUUACAGGACUUUUGACAACCAGGUUGUUCUAUUUCUGGAAAAUAAGAAGUACACAUUGGAUAGGUCAAAAUCAAGGAAUAUUUUUAGGAAUAUAAAUUUGCUAGGUGCUGAAAGAUGUCACAUCAAAGUAACUAAUGGGGCUAUGUACGAUCAAUGGUCACCAGAAAAGGAAGCAAUACUAUGAAAAUGGAAAUAAAAGUUUUGCAUUAUAGAAAACAGACUGAUUAUAAACCUAUCUCACAUGUAUUUAAUACUAAUACUGGCUUUAACAGCAUGUAGAAUAUAUGUCCAUAAAUUUCCUCUUUUUCUUUUCUAUUUCUGAUAAAGAAGAAAUAUGAGAAUCACUGGGUCACUGCCUACUGGAGCUGUGAGAAGAGGGCCACAGUCCUCCAGACCCCAGAAUGGUAGAUCCACCAACAGCUUGCACUGUGUUCCUGGAGAAGCCUCAGACACUCAACACCAGCCUGUGAAAGUAGCCAGAAGUGGGGCUGUACCCUGCAAAGCCACAGAGGCAGAGCUGCACAAGGCCAUGGGAGCCCACCUCUUGCCUCAGAGUGACCUAAAUGUGAGACAUGGAGUCAAAGGAGUUCAUUUUGUAACUUUAAGAUUUAAUGAUUGCCCUAUUGGAUUCUGGACGUGGAUGGAGCCUGUAGCUCCUUUGUUUUGGCCAAUUUCUGCAAUUUGGAAUGGGUGUAUUUACCCAAUGCCUGUACCCCCAUUGUAUCUAGGAAGUAACUAAUUUGCUUUUGAUUUUACAGGCUCAUAGGCAGAAAGGAGUUGCCUUGUCUCAGAUGAGAAUUUGGACUUGGACUUUGGGUUAAUGCUGGAAUGAGUUAAGACUUUGGGGGACCGUUGGAAGGGUAUGAUUGUGUUUUGAAAUGUGAGGGCAUGAGAUUUGGGAGGAGCCAAGGCAGAGUGAUAUGGUUUGGCUGUGUCCCCACCCAAAUCUCAUCUUGAAUUGUAGUUUCCAUAAUCCCCAUGUGUCAUGGGAGGGACUUGGUGGGAGGGACCCGGUGGGAGGUAACUGAAUCAUGGGGGAAGUUACCCCCAUGCUGCUGUUCUUGUGAUGGUGAGUGAGGCUUUCUCCCUUUCACUCAGCACUUCUCCUUUCUGCCAUUAUGUGAAGAAGGACAUGUUUGCUUCCCCUUCUACCAUGAUUGUAAGUUUCCUGAGGCCUUCCCACCCGUGCAGAACUGUGAGUCAAUUAAACCUCUUUCCUUUAUAAAUUACCCAGCCUUGGAUGGUCUAUUAUAGCAGUGUGAGAAAGAUUAAUACAUCUUUCUAUUGUUAUUCUCAUUUGACCUUCUAAAUAAUGCAGACAAGGAGAGAGUGCUUUCCUCGUUUUCAUAUAGGGCAGAGGGAGGCUCAGAGGUCAUUUGCCUGAAAUCAUGAUGCUAGUUGGCAUCAUUGAGGUCUCAGACUCAGAGCACAGGCUGGGCAGAGGUGAGUGGAGCCACAACUCUGAAGAAGUGUUUCCUGAAACUGCUGCACCCACACACAGAGCAUAGAUAUCUAGAUGAGAGGGAAAGACAGUAGGGGAAAUGGCUUUAUGAUUGCAAAUAGGUCUUUAUUCUUCAUUAGCACCUUAUUUAUUUAUUUAUUUAUUUAGGCAUAUUUACUUAUCUAUUUAUUUUUUGAUUUGACAGGACCUGGUUCUAUUGCCCAGGCUGAAGUACAGUCAUGUGACUGUAGCUCCCUAUAGCCUUGACCUCCCAGGCCCAAGUGAUCCUCCUGCCUCAGCCUCCUGCAUAGCUGGGACUAUAGGCACAUGCCACCAUGCCUGGCUAACUUUCUAACUUUUUUGUAGAAAUAGGGUUUUGCUCUGUUGCCCAGGCUGGUCUCGAACUCCUGAGCUCAAGCAAUCUGCCUGCCUUGGCCUCCCAAAGGGCUGAGAUUACAAGCGUGAGCCACCAUGCUUGGCCCCAGUGCCAUAUUGAGAAGGAUCAAAGACAUCCUCACUGACACCCAGUGUUUCUGGAAUAUUCUGCUUGUCUUUUCUUGCAAGGCUUAGGAAGACACUAGUGCCCGCUCCAGGUAGGGUGAUAAAUUAUGAGGCUAGACUUGGAACAAGGGUGCUGACAUCUCAUGAGACCCCCAAACAGAACCCACGUCUCCUGGGACCAGGUCUGGGGGGCUCGCAGGAUCUAAGAAGCUUGUGUAUUGUAUCUCUUGGUUUCUCUAGGAACAUAGCAGAGCUUGUCAUGGCGCCCACUUCUCCUGGGGGCCUGUUCCACCACUCUCUCUUCAUCUUUUCGCUCCUCAUGGCUUUGUCACAAGCCGAGUUUGGUUUUCUUUCGGCCUCAGCUGCCUCAUGCCUCCCAUAGCUC
RNAcentral lists this long non-coding RNA (2491 nucleotides) under Macaca fascicularis (crab-eating macaque). RNAcentral's name for it is "lncRNA (ENSMFAG00000063000.1)". Lineage: Eukaryota; Metazoa; Chordata; Mammalia; Primates; Cercopithecidae. The record is from RNAcentral.